UAAAAGUCUUGAAACAGAGAACGCAUUGCUAAAUUAUCAAAGUACCCUCUCCCUCUAACUUUCCAGUCAUCAUCAGCAUUCGAUCCUAGGUAACCCAUUGCCAUCCAUCUUGUUAUUAGCUCAUCCACAUCAAUUCUGGAAUCUUUAGGAAAGACGGCACAAUACGAGAAGCAACGCUUCAAUGUUGGGGACAACUCGUUGUAACUGAGAAACAAAUGGCGGAAGAGGUCAUCUUCUACUACCUCCAACUUCCAGAUUUCACUAUUCAACACGCUCUCCCACUCUUCCAAUGUAUUCUUGAAACAUAAGAGACUUCCCAAAGUCUUUGCUGCAAGCGGCAAUCCAUUGCACUUCUUGGUUAUCUGCUUACCCGUGUUCUCAAAUUCUUCACAUUGAUCCUUGUUCUUACCACAAAGGGCAAUCCGACCUAACAACGACCAACAAUCUUCAUCAUUGAGAACUCCUAAACGAUGGAUCAUCUGAUCAUUCUUUAUAAACUCUCCCAUCAUCAUUAUUGCAACUCUUUCGUUUCUAGUUGUCACCAAAACUUUGCUUCCAUGUCCACCACUUUUGAUAGCGUUUUUCAGGGGUUUCCACUUGGUAUCGUCUUCUGUCCAAACAUCAUCCAGAACAAGAAGAAACUUUUUCCCUGAAAUAGACUCUAUUAGACGUUGUAGCAGCCCAUCCAAGUCCAUUGUAUUUGGUAAAGGCCCUCCUGCUUUCUCCACAAUCCUUUUGGCAAUCUCAACCUCAUCAAAAGGAUCCGAAACAGAUAUCCAAAUUCUUAACUCAAAACAAUUCAUUACUCGAUUAUCGUUAUAAGCUAGUUGAGCAAGAGUUGUCUUCCCAAGGCCACCCACACCCACUAUAGAUACAACGCGGAUGCCUCCUAUUAACCCUUCUUCGCUACUACCACCUUCACCCACAAGUUUGCUUACCAGAGCUUCUCUCUCUAAGUCUCGGCCAUAAACUUCCUCUUUGUCGACGAUAGAAGUAGUUUGACCUCGCCAAGAUUCACGAUCAGAUGGUUGUGACGUGAUCUCAUUAAAAUGAAACCGAUCUUUCUCCGCCAAAAUCAGAUCAAGCCGUUCUUUCACUUGUUUUAUCUUCAAGGCAAUUCCACGACGUACAGAAACUUUCUUGAAACAUAAAAACGAGCAAGGGAUGCAAAAGCGUACCGUGCACUUAGGAGGAACAACAUCAGCAUCAGCAUCAGCAGCAGCAACACCAUUUGACGAUUGUUCGAUCUGAAACUUGAGAAUGGAGUAGUUCCAUUCGUCCAACACGUCAUCCAUUUCGUAUGUCGUGUUUUCGAGCCUCGUCAGCCAAUCUUUGAUGCUCUUUUCCUUAUAACCCUUCUUCUCCGCAUCUUCCAACACGUUUCUGACUGUGUUCAGAUCGAUGGAAAGUUUGAGAACCUCCUUCUUAACUCCUCUCACCAAAUUUACUUCGUCUCGGAUCUUCUCUUCCACGAGAGCUGCAAUGCGCUCCAACACAACGGAAACGAUAGCAUCCGCCAUUAUCGCUCGCUAGCUCACACUACUUGUGUCUCUGAUUGCACUAUGUGAUUGGUAACAAGAUUGAGUGGAGAUGUAGCUAAUAGUUUGUCAAUUAUAUUCCAUUUUCUGCUUUUGCUUUAGCAUAAAGUGAAAGUUCCACUCUUACUCAAAAAAAAAAAAGAAAAAAAAAAGUGAAAGUUCCACAGCUGUAGGUGAGACAAUUGGUAUCACAUUUAUUUUACAGGUAAUCAAACUUUUAACGUCCAUUAGUCUUGAUAUUUCUUUUGUUUUAUUUUAUAUUCUAUAUAUUUCAUUAACUACAAAUAUUUAUAUUGUUCCAAAAUUAAUUUAUAACUUACAUAACCCAAAAUUGUGAAAAACUAAAGUAUUAAUAACCGAGUGCCGUAAAUAGAUUUAAAAAAACAAAACAUUAAACACAGAGAAAAGAUAGAAUAAACAAUACUUGGAUAUUAUUUUUUUCAAUUGAAAUAAAGUAUAUUAAACAAUACUUGGAUACUUACCACCCUGUGCAAUCUCGAAUUGCCAAAAACAAAACCCUAUAUUAAAAAUAUUAACAAAGACCCAUAUACAAAAAUUAUUCGCUACACUCCAUAUAUGGGAGUGGGUGUGCAUUUUUUUGAUCUAACAAGACCUAAAUACCCUCUAAUUAGAAAUAUUUUUAAAAUUACAGAUUCACCCCAAAGUUUCAGACCAAAGUAAAAUUUUCAAAAUUUUCAAUUCAGUCCUUUAUAUUUCCAAAAAAACCAUCUUCCCAGCCCCACGUCUUCAUUUCAUUGUGACUUUUUCCAGCAAAAAAAAAAAAAAACAGAAAUUAUUAAACACAUUCUUCCCUUUCACUUUUUCUGAUUCUCCACAAUCCGGUUUCCCAAUCUCUCUUAUUCAAUGUUUCAGAUUCGUGCACCCAAUUGAUGGAGAUUUCCGAGUAUUGGCAUCUUAGUAUAUUAAAUGUACAUUAUAAGGGGAAAGUAAAAUUUGCACCCCUGAACUAUAGGGUUUGUCGCAAACACCCCUAAACUACAAAACGUAACAAAAUGAACCCCUGACUUUAACAGUCAAACUUUAGAUUUUUUACACCUUUAAUAAUAAUGAGUAUUUACAUAUUAACCCUCAUUAUGUUAUGCUGCAAUCUGACGUGGCAUCAUCACCAUGGAUAAUAUUUCCCUCUCAAUAGAAACUAGACUCCUUUUUUUCUCUUUUUCUUCUUUGAGAAAACCAAAUCCCUCUUUUAAAAAACUAGCCCGCGCGCCUAAAAAGUGGAAUUCACGGUGCAAUUCAAAAAUCAGAAAAUAUCAACGACCGCUCAAGUCUUUGUUAAACCAACAGUCUUCCGACUUCGAAACUCUUGAUUUUUCAAACCCAUUUGCAAUAUUUUUUCUUGGAUCAUACUCGGCGUGUCUUCUUUCUCGAUAUCUGUGAGAGGUAUGGCUCUUCCGCUGUGUUUUUUCUGCGUUUAAGAAUUUCCUGUGGCGUUUAUGCAUUCGUGAUGAUGAUGAUUUCUCUAUUUUCUGUUUAUGGGUUUCAGUAAUAUAACGAUGCUUUGUUUGUGGGUUUCAUAAAUAUAUCGACAUUUGAUUCUUUAGUUAUCAAUGCAAUUUUUUUGUUUUUAUGUUUUUGAAUUUGUUUGUUGAGUCAUGUACGAUUUGGUCCGGUAAAUAACCGAAUCACAUGAAUUUUAUGUAAAAAUAUUUAAAAGGAGGGGUGGCUGUAAUUACCCAAACAAUAAGUGGUUUUUCGUAAUUUGACCAUACCUAACGGAUCAAUACCCUUUAAAUCAAAAACUUUAAAAAUUAUAGAUUCACCCCAAAAAUUUUGUUUGUCCCAAAAUGAAGUUUCCGAAAUUUUCAAUUCAGUCCCUGAUAGUUUAUGUUUUAAACAAAUAAAAUAUAUACUAAAUGUAUGGCUUCUUUCACGAGUCUCUACUUUGCCACGCUUUAUUCAUAAUACUGGCCAUCACAACUUCUUCUCCGGCAGCCACCACGGCAGAGGAAUUCAAGGUUGGCGGCAGCCUGCCACCAACGACACUGAAAUGUACACCCGGUGGGCCUCAACCAUGAGAUUCCACGUCGGAGAUUCUCUUUGCAAGUAUUGUUCAAUUCAUUUAACUUAUUUUUAGUCUAAUUAAUUGAUCUUCAUUAAUUAAUAUUUUAAUGUAAUAAUUAUUCCCUUUUUGAGAAGUCAGGGAAAAGGGUUUUAGAGGUUUGAAUCCGAUCGUCGAUGCGGCGGCGGAAGCUUGGGAAAGAUGAUAGGUUGUUGAGCGGUGGGUGGGUGGGUUGUUCCUGUGAAGACGAUGAUGACUUUCUUUAUAUUAGUAUCUGUAACUUUUUUAAAUUUCAAUUUGGUCCCUUAGUUUUAAAAAUUACAUAUUUAUGGACUGGGCUUUUCUUUUUUGCAAGAACCUCACCAGGGUAUUUUUGUCUUUUUGCAGCCAGUCAAUGGGAAAAAAAAUAAAUGGGUUGAGUGUGCCAUCUUAACUCUAUAGUAACAGUAGAAAUAGAAGCAUGAAAUAAAAGGUAAUAAUUGAAGUUACAGGCAGAGGCAGAAGAAUUGAUAUUAAAGUAGUAGAAAAUGAAAAUGAAAAUGAAAAUGAAAGUUGAAUAGAAUAAAAGUAAUAACAUCAAUUAAUAAUUGAAGCGAAGGCGUGGAUUGAUGUGGCGGGAAAUGGAUUUCAAACCAUCGCCGUGAACGUAAAAUUGUUUCAGCUGUGUUGAACCACUAAUAUUCAACUCCUCCAAUGACCACAACACCUUUCGCAGGAGGCGUUGCGGCAGCUCCGUCAAUCCAUCGCAGCUACCGAUCUGCAACUUCGUCAGGCAAGGCAUUAUUGAAUAUUCUUCUUCUUCUUCUUGGGCCGUUGUAAUGUCCUCCCACUUGUUCCAAUUUUGACAGCUCCAAAAUCUCAGUGUUUUUAACUUGGGAAAGCCACCAUCAAUAAUAUUUGUACCCACCACCGACGAAGACGAACACGAAGAUGUUGUUGUUGCUGUUGUUGCUAUUCCCAGGAAUUCCUGUCCAACAUAUUCCAAUUCAUAUAAAUUUUGAAUCGAAAGAGUCUCCAGUAGCGGUAGUUUACCCAGCGGCGGCAGCGACGGAAGGCCUUUACAAUGGUAGAGCUCAACAUUUACGAGUUGGUUGAGGGGAGACGUGAUCCAUCGUGGAAGUUGAGAGCCGUCAUAGUGAUAAAUAAUCAGCUCUCGGAGGUGUGGAUAUGGUUUCAGAGCAUCUACCAGUUUGGAACCAAAAAUACACAACACCUUCAAUGAUGAUGAAACCUUUCGCAUGAGGCGUUGCGGCAGCUCCGUCAAUCCCUCGCAGAAACGCAUCGUCAACUCCGUGAGGCAAGGCAUUAUUGAGAUAUCAACAUUAUCUUCUUCUUCCAUCGUAAUGUCUUCCCACUUCGUCCAGUUGAUACAUUUCCAAAAUGUCAGUAUCUUCAACUUGGGGAAGCCACCAGCAAUAGUACCCAUCGAUGAACAUGUUGUUGUUGCUAUUCCCAGGAAUUCCCGUCCAACAUAUUCCAAUUUAGAUAAACUUACAAUCUCAAGAGUCUCCAGUAGCGGUAGUUUACCCAGCGGCGGCAGCGACAAAAGGCAUUCACAAUAGUAGAGCUCAAUUGAUGUGAGUUGGUUGAGGGGCGACACAAUCCAUCCCGAAAGUCGAGAGCCGUUAUAGCGCCUGAUAGUCAGGUGUUGGAGGUUUGGAUGUGGGUGAAGAGCAUCUAGUACUUCAUUCCAAACCGAUGCUGACGACGAUGAUGAAGAACUAGUAUCUUUCACUUGUUUGCCACGGCCAUCAAUUGUUGUUGUUGAUUCAGAGAAAUAUAUUCCCAGUUCUUGAAUGUGCACCUUUUUCCCCAACUCCGCCUCACGAGCAUCCUCUACUGAAUCACAACAACUGCUUAUUUCAAUCCACAGCUCCACUUUCCCGCUAAGUCGGUUAAAAUUCUUCAACCACCCCACCUUAUUCCCAUCACAAGGAAAGACUUUAUUCAAUGUGACUAGACUCGUUAAUUGGGAUAUUCCUUGUGGAUAUUGUACUAGAGAACGAGUACAUUCACUAUACAAAUGUUUGAGCUUCUUCAGCCUCUCGAUCCCUUGUGGAAGUCCACACAGACUGGAACACCAACUAACAUUCAGGAUUUGUAAUUUACUCAAAUUGCAUAGGCUCUCCGGCAAUUCUCUCAGUCCUGUAUUCCAGCUCAAAUCCAAGUGUAUCAACUGACUCAAAUUCCCAAUCUCCAACGGAAUUUCUUGUAGCUCGCACCAACCAACCCAAAGAAAUUGCAAGUUAUAUAACAAACAAAUGGACUUGAGAUUAUCACCAACAAAUUGAUUAUGACUCAAGUUCAACCACCUCAAGUGAAUCAAUUUUUCUAUUUCUUUCGGAAUGGCUUUCAAUCUUAAAUCGAGCAACCUCACACUUGUCAGACAAUCACAAACAUGUGAAUCAAGAACUUCUUUGCACCGAAAUAAGCUACGAUAUUUUUCGACUUGGGAAACUAACAAAGGGCUACAGUCUUUGCAAGUUGUGUUCUUCAUUCUUGAUCCCACAUUCUUCUUCAGGAAUUCAGCGAAAUCAUGUACAAUGUCAUGCAUCAUAAACGAUUUUAUCUUAUCGCCAUCUUUCUUAAAGUCUUGAAACAGAGAACGCAUUGCUAAAUUAUCAAAGUAGCCUCUUCCUCUAACUUUCCAGUCAUCAUCAGCAUUCGAUCCUAGGUAACCCAUUGCCAUCCAUUUUGUUAUUAGCUCAUCCACAUCAAUUCUGGUACCUUUAGGAAAGACGGCACAAUACGAGAAGCAACGCUUCAAUGUUGGGGACAACUCGUUGUAACUCAGAAGCAAAUGGCGGAAGAGGUCGUCUUCUACUUCCUCCAACUUCCAUAUUUCACUAUUCAACACACUCUCCCACUCUUCCAAUGUAGUCUUGAAACGUAAGAGACUUCCCAAAGUCUUUGCUGCAAGCGGCAAUCCAUUGCACUUCUUGAUUAUCUGCUUACCUGUGUUCUCAAAUUCUUCACAUUGAUCUUUGUUCUUACCACAAAGGGCAAUCCGACCUAACAAUGACCAACAAUGUUCAUCAUUGAGAACUCCUAAACGAUGGAUCAUCCAAUCAUUCUUGAUAAACUCUCCCAUCAUCAUUAUUGCAACCCUUUCGUUUCUAGUUGUCACCAAAAUUUUGCUACCCGUUCCACCACUUUUGAGAGCGUUUUUCAGGGAUUUCCACUUGGUAUCGUCUUCUGUCCAAACAUCAUCCAUAACAAGAAGAAACUUUUUUCCUGAAAUAGACUCUUUUAGACGUUGCAGUAGCAUUUCCAAUUGGUUGGUCCUUGGGGGUUCAUCCAACUUUUCCACACUUGCCACAAUCCCUUUCGCAAUCUCAACCUCGUUAAAGGGAUCUGAAACAGAUAUCCAAAUUUUUAACUCAAAAUAAUUCUCAACUCGACUAUCGUUAUAAGCUAGUUGAGCAAGAGUUGUCUUCCCAAGGCCACCCACACCAACUAUAGAUACAACGCGGAUGCAUCCUAUUAACCCUUCUUCACUACUACCACCUGCACCGACAAGUUUUCUCACCAGAGCUUCUCUCUCUAUGUCGCGGCCAUAAACUUCCUCUUUGUCGAUGGCAGAAGUAGUUUGACCUCGCCAAGAUUCACGAUCAGAUGGAUGUGACGUGAUCUCAUUAAAAUGAAACCGAUCUUUCUCCGCCAAAAUCAGAUCAAGCCGUUCUUUCACUUGUUUUAUUUUCAAGGCAAUUUCACGACGUACAGAAACUUUCUUGAAACAUAAACACAAGCAAGGGAUGCAAAAGCGUACCGUGCACUUAUUAGGAGGAACAACAUCAGCAUCAUCAGCAGCAGCAGCAGACGAUUGUUCGACCUGAAAUUUGAGAAUGGAGUAGUUCCAUUCGUCCAACACGUCAUCCAUUUCGAAGGUCGUGUUUUCGAGCCUCGUCAGCCAAUCUUUGAUGCUUUUUUCCUUAUACCCCUUCUUUUCCGCAUCUUCCAACACGUUUCUGACUGUGUUCAGAUCAACGGAAAGUUUGAGAAUCUCCUUCUUAACUCCUCUCACCAAAUUUACUUCGUCUCGGAUCUUCUCUUCCACGAGAGCUGCAAUGCGCUGCAACACAACGGAAACGAUAGCAUCCGCCAUUAUCGCUCGCCAACAGUUUUUUUUCUUUUCUUUCUAAAUUCUGUGUAUAUUAUUUGGUCUGUGCCUUAAUUCUUCCUUUCUCUGAUGCUAUCAAUCAAUAAUUGACCAGGUGGAGAUAUAUGCAGAAAGAUUAAAAAAAGACUUGAACAACGGACACAGAGUUUGUGAUUGACAUUUCCCAAGUCAACUGUACAGCUGUGAGUGGGUUGUGGCUGAGUCAUGAUGAGUGCGACAAUUAUUUGGUCAAACUCUCAAAAUUUUGUUUGCAUUUUAUUGCUCACAUAUAUUUUCAGUUUUCAAAAUAAGUAAAUCAAUAUUAAUGAAAAAGUAUAUCCUUUUGAGCAAUUAGUUUUUUGCUUAUGAAUGAAUUAAUUCAAGAGUUACAAAAUAUUAUUUGCAAGAAAAUAUAUAUUUUAAUUUCUUAGGCAAUAUAAGAAAAUAGGGUUAAUAGCAUUUUCCCACCUAGACUUUGCCCGUUUUUGCACUUUCCCACCUCAACUAAAAAAAGUUGCACGGCGGCACCCAAACAUUCAUUUUUGAGGCACAUAACCACCUGGAGGGAAUAUUCCGGCGAAUAUUCUCAUUUUUCAACGCACGCGCGAUGCACAUGCGAAAGUACAAGGGUUUUUUCGUCUUUUUACUUGAAAAUAUUAUAAGGGGUGAAAUUGAAAGUACCAGGGACUCAAUUGAACUUAAUUUGAAACUUUCUUUAUAGCAAUAACAAAGUUUCUUCUUUCCACUAGCAAAUGUGCAUUCUGCAUCAAUGCAGCAAAUGAGACGUAAAGUAAUAGCAAUUAACAUUUUCCUAAACAUGAAAUUCUAAUAAUCAAAAGAGUAAAAAGCAGUUUACCCCCUAAACUAUGGGCCGAUUUGCACUUUACCCCCCAAACAAAAAAAAAUUGCACGUUUUUACCUAAACUCGUCAAUUCGUUGCACGGUGCCCCCUGAACUCAAUUUUCCGGCAAUUUUGUCCGAAAAGUUGAAACAUGUGACUUGCACGUGACAUUUGCAGGGGUAUAUUCGUCCAUUCACUUACAUGCUGUAUAUUAAAUAUAAAUUAAACAAAAAAAAAAAAAUAUAUUGAGUCUUCUUCUUCCCUUCGCCCACCGUGCCAUCACCAUCCCAAAAAAUCCAUCAGCCACCGUCCUCCACUCUAUCGCAACCACCGACCACCAAUCCCACCGCAGCAAAUCAUCACUUCCACCUCUAAACUAUUUCCAACUCACCGCCAUUACUUGCCUCGUUUCCUCCAUUUACCGAUCGAGUCUUCGACCAUACAAGUAUAAAACAAAUAUUCCCCAAUUUCUUUUUAAGAAAUCACCAUCACCGGCAAAUCAUCUCCACCUCCACCUUCCCCACCUUGAUUCCACCUCUAAACUAAUUUCAACCCGCCGCCGUCACCUACCUCGUUUCACGGUUCACAACACCGCGCCACAGGCAACUAUUCCUCACUCUGUAUUUUUUUCCCGACGCGCACUCUUCCAACUUUUAUUUUCCUCCAAUUUUAUUUCAUCAUUAAACGAACACGCGAAUUUCACUGAAAUUAAUUUAUUGAAAAUUUGUGCAAUUGCAGAAUUAUCCCAUAUCGAAGCAUUGAUCGUGUUUCCUCUUCUGCAGUUGUAGAUCCGAAUUUUGGAUGCAUCGGAGCGUAUUCAUUACCUUCCCAAUUUUUCUUUUUAAAAAAAUCACCAUCUCCGCCUCUGCUCCUCCGACGUCAAAUAUCCUAACCUCAUCCCCAUCUUCUUUGGAUCUAUGGGCAAAAUAGGAUUUGAAGACAUUUUAUUUGAACCGGAUCUGAGCCGCCGAGGAGAUGUAGUGCACCAAUUAUCGGAGAUGGAUGCUGCUGUUAUUUUUUCGGCGGGGAAUGUUAUCUGGCUCGCCGACGAAGCUAUAUCCGUGAGAGGAGGAGCGGUGGUGGUCAUCGGAGAAUUUUGGAUUUUUUUUAAAUUAGUGUUUCAGAUUUUUUUUUUUGCAGGCAUGAAUUGGAUUUUUGGGAAGAAGAUGGCUGAUGGUCUGAUGGGUUUUUGGGAAGAAGGUGGGUGAUGGUCUGAUGGGGUUUUGGGAAUGAACGUGGGUGAUGGUCUGAUGGAUGAAAGCUUUUUUUUUUCCUUUUUUUUUUUCUUUUUUUUUUUAUUUUCUUUUUUAUUUUCUUUUUUAUUUUAUUUUUUAAUAUUUAUUUGCAUUUAAUAUUAAAGAUGCAAGUGAAUGGGCGAAUUUACCCCUCAAAAUCUCACGUGCAAAGCACAUGUUUUAACAUUCCGGUCAAAAUUGCCGGAAAAUUGAGUUCAGGGGGCACCGUGCAACGAAUUAACGAGUUUAGGUAAAAACGUGCAAAAAAUUUUUGUUUGGGGGGUAAAGUGCAAAUCGGCCCAUAGUUUAGGGGGCAAACUGCUUUUUACUCUAAUCAAAACACUAAAAACUUCAGCUUUGCUUCCGAAUUCAAUCCCAAAGUCACGUAAAAGAAAAAGGGUAAAAAGCGUUUUACCCCCUGGACUUUGGGGUGUUUUGCACGGCGCCCCCCCAGCUUACAAAAUUUGCACGUUUUUACCUGAACUUAGGUAGUUGUUGAACGACGCCCCCCCAGCUUACAAAAUUUGCACGUUUUUACCUGAACUUAGGUAGUUGUUGAACGAUGCCCCCUUAAGUGUCUAUUUUUGAAAAAAAAUAACCGGAAUCUCACACGUGCUUUGCACGUGUGAAUCCAAGGUUUAAUUUGCCUUUUCCUGUACACUUUUACCACUGUUCUACCUUUCCCUUUGUUACCGUUAGGAGAUUCCUAAUAUUCCUCCCUUUAUAAACCAUUAGAAGCCCUUCUGUCCCUUCUCUAUUAUUGCCAUUCAUCUUCUUGAUUUGGUUUCAAUUUCAUAUGGACGCGACGUGCUAUUGUUCGAGAAGACCAGUCAUGAAAACUUCAUGAACUGAUCUGAAUCCAUGAAGAAGAUACACCAACUGCGACAAAUACCGGGUAAAAAAUUCAAUCUUGUUUCUUUUGUUUUAUUUAAUGAAACUGAAACCAAAUCAACAUGAAAUUGGAAGAAGAAGCAACGGCAAAUCAAGAAGAGGAAUGGCAAUAAUAGAGAAGGGACAGAAAAUUAGGGCUUCUAAUGGUUUAUAAAGGGAGGAAUAUUAGGAAUCUCCUAACGGUAACAAAGGGAAAGGUAGAACAGUGGUAAAAGUGUACAGGAAAAAGCAAAUUAAACCUUGGAUUCACACGUGCAAAGCACGUGUGAGAUUCAGGCUAUUUUUUUUCAAAAAUAGACACUUAAGGGGGCGUCGUUCAACAACUAUCGAAGUUCAGGUAAAAACGUGCAAAUUUUGUAAGUUAGGGGGGCGUCGUUCAACAACUACCUAAGUUUAGGUAAAAACGUGCAAAUUUUGUAAGCUGGGGGGGCGCUGUGCAAAACACCCCAAAGUCCAGGGGGUAAAAUGCUUUUUACCCAAAGAAAAAUCCCCAAAUUCAUUUGGCAUCCAAAACACAAAAUUCAAAACACAACCCAACAACAAGCAAAACUUCAAAACAAUUUCGAAUCCAGAAAAUCGAAAAAUCCCAUAGAACACACACGAAAACCCCCAAAUCGCACCAAUCAGAAACCCUAAAAAUAAUAUCCAUCAUCACAAAACCAACAGCUACUGCACCGCGGCCCGUUUCAGAAACGAAAUUUACGAGAAAAAGGAAAUCAAUUGCACAUAAAAACGCAAAAUAAAAUCAGAGGCGAAGGAGAAAAGAAUUGAUUCUCAGCAAAACAAUCAGCGAAAACCAAACCAAACACGUUCGCAUUAACAGAGAUGAUAUAAGAGAGUGGGGAUAUCAGUAUUCAGUACUGAGUGUGUGUUCGUGUAUCUAUAUGUGUAUCUAUACAUACCUGUUUCGCGUAUUUAAUUAUUUUUGCGUCGCGAGGGGUUUUGGGUACAGCCGGAGGAGUUGGACAUUUGGACGAGGUGUUGGUGGAGGAAUUGGUGGAGGAAUUGGUGGUGGAGUUGGAGGUGACAGUGGAGGAAUUGAAGGUGGAGUCGGUGGAGGCUUAGGCGUUAGUAUAGGUGGCAGAUUUGGUUGUGGUGGAGGUGGUGGUGGUGCGGCGGCGGAGCAAAUGUGGUGGUGGUGAUGCGGUGCCGGAGAGAGGAAGAAGACGGAGCAGAAUUUUUCAUAUUGAAUUUUUAGUAAUUUGAUAUGAUAAUUUCAGGUGGUGGUACGGCGGUGGAGAGAGAUGUUGGUGGCGGUGAUGUGAAAUAUCCUGAUUCCCCUAUUUUGCAGCAAGAGGGAGACGAAGAAGAUGAUGGGUGGAAGUUGUGAAAGUUUCAAAUUAAGUUCAAUUGAGUCCCUGGUACUUUCAAUUUCACCCCUUAUAAUAUUUUCAAGUAAAAAGACGAAAAAACCCUUGUACUUUCGCAUGUGCAUCGCGCGUGCGUUGAAAAAUGAGAAUAUUCGCCGGAAUAUUCCCUCCAGGUGGUUAUGUGCCUCAAAAAUGAAUGUUUGGGUGCCGCCGUGCAACUUUUUUUAGUUGAGGUGGGAAAGUGCAAAAACGGGCAAAGUCUAGGUGGGAAAAUGCUAUUAACCCAAGAAAAUAUAUCACCGUUUAAGUCUCCAUUAAUAUAUGGGGGCAACUAUUUCAAAUACUAAAUUUUGCUUACUUGAAUACUACCAAGUUUAAAACCAAAAUUGAGUACAUAUUUAUCAGUUUUUUCUUACUUUAAUACCAAAAUAAAAGGAAAAUUACAAAAACACCCUUUCAUACAAAAUAUCAAUUAUAUCAAAUUUUAUUAGAAAUUACCUAUUCAAAAACCAAAUAAAAAAAAAAAGAAAAAAAACCAUUUGUUGUAAAAAAAAACCUCCACCAUUUCUUCUCCUCUCCAACCCUCACCGCCGACGCUGCCGACGCCGCCGCCGCCGAACGCCACCGUACGUGCUCGUAACUGCCGCGACAACCCAAUUAAACCCUAUCUUUUUCAUCUUCUUAAAUCCUCCAAAACAUCUCCAAAUUCAAAAAAUCAAAACCUCACAAAACUUAUAAAAUGGAGUUAUAAGACAAUAAUAUGGUAGUAUAUGUGGAAAGAGAAGCCAUUAAGGUAAGUAUCGAUGUCUUUUUUGAGCUUCGAAAUCGAUUUUGAAGUUUUUUUUUUUGAACCCGUCGGCAAUUUUCGACACAUACAGUNNNNNNNNNNNNNNNNNNNNNNNNNNNNNNNNNNNNNNNNNNNNNNNNNNNNNNNNNNNNNNNNNNNNNNNNNNNNNNNNNNNNNNNNNNNNNNNNNNNNCUUUUAGGAGAGCGGUGAUUUUAAUUUCUUUAGGUUUGAAAAUUUUUAAGAAGGGUUUGUUGUGAGAUUUUUUAGAAAGGGUUUGUUGUGAGGGAAGAUUUUUUUAGAAGGGUUUUUUUGGGAAGGGAGAAAGAAAGAGGAUGGAGGAAGGUGAGGGGGUUUGUGAGUAAGGAGGGAAAUGGUUUUUUUGAGUUUUUGAUUAUUUGGUAUUUAAGAAAGAAAAAUAGUAUUUGUGAUAUUUUUUUUGGUUUUAAUUUCAUUAAGGGUAUUAAAGUAAUUUACAAUUAAUUAUUUAUUUUUUAUUUUUUUGGUAUUCAAGUAAGCAAAAGUUGAGAUUUGAAAUAGUGAUCCCCUUAAUAUAUAGGUAGAUGCUUGUCUUUAUAGGUUCAGUUUCAAAUUGUAAUAUAAAUAAAAAAAAGGGUAAAUAGCAUUAAACCACCUAAACUUUUUACGUUUUUGCGGAUCACCACCUGAACAAUUUUUUUUUGCAAGAGUUCACCUGUACUCAAUUAAUUGUGCCACUUUGCCGUUUUUUGCCCGUUUUCAGGUCAUAAUGACCGGUUCUGGACACACGCGCGUUGCACAUGCGAAAUCCAAGGGUAUUGUUGGCUUUUUCAUUUUUAAAAUUGAAUAAAUGUUAAUUUUCAUUUAUUUAUUUUAUUUUAUGUUUCUUUUUUGAAAUGAAAUUUUCUUAAAUAGAAUAAGUAAAAAAAGAAAAAGAAAAACGUCAUCUUGUUCCCAGCAACUCAGCCCUGUAUUUUGAACUCAUGGCCCAAAAAAUCCGAACAAACCACCGACAUAAUUACUUUCUCGCCUCUGCAAUUCCAAGGAUGACCACUGCCGUCGCACCAAUCUCACCACCCACUGCCCACCGGCGCACACCCGAUCUCACGGCCGAGCGCCGCUCACCGCCGCCGUGGCAUGGGGCGGCCUCAAUUGUGAGAAGAUCCUAUAAUCCUCCAUUCGUUGGAAGAAGAUCUAGUCGUUCGGAGGAAGAAAUCGAAAGAAAAUAGUGUUCAUAUAACUUGAAUUGGGGAAAGGGGGAAAUUAAAUGAACAUUUUGGACCUAAUUUUAGGUCCAAUUUCAGUCAUGAUGGCGGCGGAUCUGAAGAAGAUGUGGUGGUGGUGGUGAGCUUGGUGGUUGUGCAAGAGGCUGGUUACUCGGGGUGAGUGGCUGCAACAUGAGAGAAAUGGUUGAUGAAAAUUGUGAGUUAGAUGAGUAGGGUGGGGGGGUUGGAUAUGGUCUGCCGCCGCCAACGCCGUUGGCCUUGAUGAGUUCAUCUAUGUGAAAUUACGGCUGAUUGCCGGCGGGUAAACGGCGACGUUUUUCUUUUUGUUGGUCUGAUGAUGGUGAUGAUUAGGGAAAAAUAAAGUAGCAGCAGUACAGUAUAUGUGGUGUUGUGGUGGAUCUUCUUCUGGGAUUGGGAACAAGACGAAGACCCUUUUGUUUUUUUUUUUUUUUAAUAAUUAUUCUAUUUUACAUUUAUUCAAUUUUAAAAAUGAAAAAGCCAACAAUACCCUUUGAUUUCGCAUGUGCAACGCGCGUGUGUCCAGAACCGGUUAUUAUGACCUGAAAACGGGCAAAAAACGGCAAAGUGGCACAAUUAAUUGAGUACAGGUGAACUCUUGCAAAAAAAAUUGUUCAGGUGGUGAUCCGCAAAAACGUAAAAAGUUUAGGUGGUUUAAUGCUAUUUACCCUAAAAAAAAUGUUCCACCAAGUAGAAAUAGAAGCAAGAAAUCAGCAGCCAACUUACUGUUAAAACUUCAAUUUGCAUCAAACAUAAUAGGAUAUUAUAAUACAUCAGACGAAGAGUUGGUCUUAAAAUCACUAGUAAUCGUCCAAUUAUAUUCAUCGUUACCCGUCGAAAAAACCACCGAUUCUCCUCUACGGAACGAAUAAUUUUCUUCUACCAAUUUUGCCCCGACAUUCGAUCCCAUUCGAGCCAUUCUCACACUCUCCAAUUCCACACCAACUUCUUUCAUAUACGGACGUUUCUUACCGUUCAAAUCCAAACAUCUUUCCGCAAGUUUUGCUACAGCAAGAACACCUCCACUUUCACCUCUCAACACUUGAUCAUCAAGAAUCGAAUCAAGGGCAUUUUCGUCCAUUAAAGAAAAAAAAAACGCCUCCGAAUAUCAGUCGUGGAAGUUGUCAUUGUAGGCCUCAACAAGAACAACCCCAAAACUAUAAACAUAUACAUCACUCUUUUUCGUAAUAAACUAGAUGGACUGAAAAAUACUCCGGAUCAAUAUAUCUGAACUGAAAGCGCCGUUCACAUUCGUAGUUACCUGUGUUAUUGUUGAAUAUAUUGCGAAAAUAUGUGAACAAGAUUAACAAGGAAAUAAUCGAGGAGUAUGUGUCUCUAACAUAUUUUACUCUUGCUAAUACAUGUUGAAUUAUAAGUACAAACUCAAGACCUAGUUAUACUAGUUUAAGCAUAUGCAGUACAUGCAUCGUAUUAAAUGUAUUCAUUAUAAAUCCUAGAUAUACAUGUAUCUUAUAAUUCAUGUAUAUAUCCUAUACAUUGUACAUGCAUUUGGAUAAUAUAGAAAGUGCAUUAUUUAUUUCAACAUUUAUAUCAGAAAGGCCAAAAAAAUAAAACCCGAGAAAAAUUAAGUGACCAAAACCCCUAUGUAAUCAGUUCAAGCAAGUACACUCGUGACUCGACACUUUUUAUUUUCAUCUGUUGACUGUUUGUAAAAAGACGAAAAAACUCUCCACAAAAAUAGAAAUCCAAUUGGAAAUACCCAAUGGAUCAAUACCCUCUAAAUUAGAAUCUUUGAAAAUUAUAGAUUCAACCCAGAACUUUUGUUUGUCCUAAAAUGAAGUUUUUGAAAUUUUCAAUUCAGUCCCUCAUAUUUUAUAUUUUAAACUAAUAAAAUAUAUAGGGUAAAUAGCAUUAAACCACCUAAACUUUUUAAGUUUUUGCGGAUCACCACCUGAACAAUUUUUUUUUGCACGAGUUCACCCGUACUUAAUAAAUUGUGCCACUUUGCCCAUUUUUGCCGGUUUUCAGGUCAAAAUGACCUGUUCUCAACUCAUGUGCGUUGCACAUGACAAAUCCAAGGGUAUUGACGUAUUUUCCAUUUUAAAAAUGGAAUAAAUGUUAAAUAGAAUAAAUAAACUAUUUUCUCUCGAUUCAGAUUUUUUGUUGGCCCUCUUUCAUGUUUUUCAAUUUCUUCGAGAAAAAUCCCACAACUAUUCGAACAUUACUUACCAAAUCACGAUUUUGUUCAAUACAUACAGGACUAUCGCAAUUUUGGGAUGAUUCAAGCUCGAUUUGAUGUGAAUUGCUCGCGAUUUCGACUGGGUAGCGUUGUUUUUUUGGCGAUUUAGGCACAAUUCUGGCCGAAUUUGGUGUGUUCAUGUUCGAUUUAGGUCGGGGUUUGUGUGAUGUAGACUGGGUUUCGCUAUUUAGAACUUGAAUGUUGAAGCUUGAAUCUAGAUUUGUUUUGAAAUGCUAAUUGUUAACCGAUUUGUUAUCACUGGGUGUUAUAUUUGUUAUAUUUCAAAUGUCUAUGUGUAUGGAAAUGUGGUUACUCACGCAAUUCAUAAUCUCUGUUGCUGAUUGUAAUUUGAUGUUGUCUGUUUCGGGCUACAAUGUCCGCCACCCAAGACAAAACAGUCUCGGCCCUGGUGGUGUCGGGAUGCAUAAUCACUUUUCCGGACAAAACCCAUCUCAGAAAUCCGAAAUGUCGAAGCAAUCACCAGGAAGCAGAUUCAAAAAUCGUAUUUACGGAAAUUGGGUUAUAGGAACACUAUUUUCUCUCGAUUUAUUCCUCCGAAUCAACUAGAUCAUCUUCCAACGAAUGGAGGAUUAGAUGAUCUUCUCACAAUUGAGGCCGCGGCGGAAGUGCGCGGCGCUUGGCGGUGAGAUCGGGUAUGAAAUCCUCUGCUUUUGCAACAAACACACUACCACUCCGAAAUGAUAAAACCACCACCAGUUGCACGAAAAUUCGCCCCCCCAUUUCACCAAGAUCAUCCCACUUCAAUUCAAAUGCAAAAUAAAAUUAAUUUUUUUUUAUUAAAAUCAACAGAUCUGAAGUGGGAUUCAAUCAAAGAAUCAAAUAUUCGAUGAAAAAAAGUGAAAUACAAACGUACCAAGUUAAUUCAUACCGAUUAAAUUAGUUAAAAACAGGAAUGAAUGUGUUGUGUGUGUGUGUGUGUGUGUGUGUAUGUGAGAGAAUCUUUCUUCAAAACUUGUGUUCUGCAACUGCAAGUGGGUUGUAUCCCCUGCAUAUGUAUGUAUAAUGUAUGUAUAUAUAAAAUUGAUUAAUUAAAUAAAAUAAAACUGACAUGUUUUUUUUUCUUUUAAUUAUUCUAUUUUAUAUUUAUUCCAUUUAUCCUAAAAAAACAUUUAUUUCAUUUUAAAAAUGGAAAAGACAUCAAUACCCUUGGAUUUGUCAUGUGCAACGCACAUGAGUUGAGAACAGGUCAUUUUGACCUGAAAACCGGCAAAAAAUGGCAAAGUGACACAAUUUAUUAAGUACGGGUGAACUCAUGCAAAAAAAAAUUGUUCAGGUGGUGAUCCGCAAAAACUGAAAAAGUUUAGGUGGUUUAAUGCUAUUUACCCAAAUAUAUAUUAAACAUAAGUAAUAUAAUAAGAAAAUUUGAAAAGAAAAAAAAAAAGAUGAGUGCAAAUUCACAGCUGGAAUUUCGACAGCGAUGGAUCGGGAGUUUUUGACAGGGGUCAAUUGGUGACGAGGAUGACGAGAAAGAAGAAAAAAAAAAAGGAGAGAAAAACACACAGUAAUCAUACAUUCCAAUUGCAGAGAUUCAGAGGGGCAAUUUUGUCCUUUCACACAAAAAUUGUACAAAAAUACAAGCAGUCAGACAAACUGGGAGUGAAUAUAAGAGCAGCACAGGUCAAAUAAAAUUGUUUUCUUAACCGCAGUGCUCCACCACCCUCAUGCCAACAACCACCGUGCUCCACCACUUGUAUUGCCGGUGACUUUUGGGAAUUGAAAAUUCACUCCUCCCACUAAAUGAUUAAAUGUACAGCCGGUGUGCCUCAACCAAGAGAUUCGACGUCGGAGAUUCUCUUCAUAAGGAAUUUCCAUAUGACUUAUUUUUAGUCAAAUUAAUUGAUCUUCAUUAAUUAAUAUUUUAAUGUAAUUAUUAUUUUAAGAACUGCAGGUUUCGAGUACAAGAAUGAUUUAGUAAUAUUUUAGGAUUAGGGUAGUUAGUUUUGUUGAAAGUGUUGGAUUGUCCUGAAAUAGUAGAAUGUUGUUUUUAUAAUGCAUUUUCUAAACAGUAGAAAUGAAGCAUGAAAUUACAGUUGACAGUACAGACAGGUAUGGGAAAACAAUUGAUAUGAAUUAAUGUAGUAGAAAAUGAAAAAUGGAAGUUGAAUGACGUAAAACUACUAAUCUCAAGGGUAGAGACGAAGGUGUGGAUUGUGGUUGGAAAUGGAUUUCCAGGGUUGACCCUCCUUGUCCCCGUAGACUUGUUUCAGUUGUGUUGAACCAGCAAUAGUCAACCACUUCAACGAUGGCGACACCUUUUGCAGGAGUCGUUGCGGCAGAUCCGUCAAUCUGCUGCAGUCAUAGAUCGUCAACUCCGUGAGGCAAGGCAUUAUUGAGAUAGCAACAUUAUCUUCUUCUUCCACCGUAAUGUCUUCCCACUCCGUCCAGUUUGGACACCUCCGAAAUGACAGUUUUUUUAACUUGGGGAAGCCACCAGCAAUAGUACCCAUCGAUGAACAUGUUGCUAUUCCCAGGAAUUCCCGUCCAACAUAUUUCAAUUUAGAUAAACCAAUAAUCGAAAGACGCUCAAGUAGCGGUAGUUUACCCAGCGGCGGCAGCGACGGAAGGCCUUCACAAUAGUCGAGACCAACAUUUAUGAGUUGGUUGAGGGGGGACGUGAUCCAUCGUGGAAGUUGAGAGCCUUCAUAGUAAUAAAUAAUCAGCUCUCGGAGGUUUGGAAGUGGCUCAAGAGCAUCUACCAGUUUGGAACCAUAAAUACACAACACCUUCAACGAUGGUGACACCUUUCGCAGGAGUCGUUGCGGCAGCUCCGUCAAUCUGCUGCAGUCACGGAUCGUCAACUCCGUGAGGCAAGGCAUUAUUGAGAUAGCAACAUUAUCUUCUUCCACCGUAAUGUCUUCCCACUUCUUCCAGUUAUUACAUGCCCUAAAUUUCAGGUACUUCAACUUGGGGAAGCCACCAUCAAUAGUACCCAUCGAUGAUGAACAUGUUGCUAUUCCCAGGAAUUCCCAUCCAACAUAUUCCAAUUCAGGUAAACCACUAAUCCCAAGAGUCUCCAGUAGCGGUAGUUUACCCAGCGGCGGCAGCGACACAAGGAAUUCACAAUUGUCCAGCUCAAUAGAUGUGAGUUGGUUGAGGGGGGACACAAUCCAUCCCGGAAGUCGGGAGCCGUAAUAGCCCACAAUAGUCAGUUGUUGGAGGUUUGGAUGUGGGUGAAGAGCAUCUAGUACUUCAUUAGAAACCGAUGUUGACGACGAUGAUGAACUAGUAUCUUUCACCUGUUUGCCACGGCCAUCCGUUGUUGUUGUUGAUCCAUAGAAAUUUAUUGUCAGUUCUUGAAUGUGCAUCUUUUUCCCCAACUCCACCUCACGAGCAUCCUCUACUGAAUCACAACAACUGCUUAUUACAAUCCACAUCUCCAGUUUCCCGCUAAGUCGGUUUAAAUUCUUCAACCACCCCACCUUAUUCCCAUCACAAGGAAAGACUUUAUUCAAUGUGACUAGACUCGUUAAUUCGGCUAUUCCUUGUGGAUAUUGCUUCAGAGAAUCAGUACGUUCAUUAUACAAAUGUUUGAGCUUCUUCAGCCUGUGGAUCCCUUGUGGAAGUCCACACAGACUACAACACGAACUAACAUUCAGGAUUUCUAAUUUACUCAAAUUGCAUAGGCUCUCCGGCAACUCUUUCAGUUGUGUAUUGUCACUCAAAUCCAAGUGUAUCAACUCACUCAAAUUCCCAAUCUCCAACGGAAUUUCUUGUAGCCCGCACCAGCCCACCCAAAGAAAUUGCAAGUUAUACAACUUACAAAUGGACUUCAGAUCAUCACCAACAAGUUUAUUAUGACUCAAGUUCAACCACCUCAAGUGAAUCAAUUUUUCUAUUUCUUUCGGAAUGCCUUUCAAACCACAACUUCUUAAUUUGAGCAACCUCACACUUGCCAGGCAAUCACAAACAUGUGGAUCAAGAACUUCUUUGCACUGACAUAAGCUACGAUAUUUUUCGACUCGGGAAACUAACAAAUGGCUACAGUCUUUGCAAGUUGUGUUCUUCAUUCUUGAUCCCACAUUCUUCCUCAGGAAUUCAGCGAAAUCAUGUACAAUGUCAUGCAUCAUAAACGAUUUUAUCUUUAUAUCGUCAUCUUUCAUAUAAAAGUCUUGAAACAGAGAACGCAUUGAUAAAUAAUCAAAGUACCCUCUCCCUCUAACUUUCCAGUCAUCAUCAGCAUUCGAUCCUAAAUAACCCAUUGCCAUCCAUCUUGUUAUUAGCUCAUCCACAUCAAUUCUGGUAUCUUUAGGAAAGACGGCACAAUACGAGAAGCAACGCUUCAAUGUUGGGGACAACUCGUCGUAACUAAGAAACAAAUGGCGGAAGAGGUCAUCUUCUACUUGCUCCAACUUCCAUAUUUCACUAUUCAACACGCUCUCCCACUCUUC
RNAcentral lists this long non-coding RNA (20550 nucleotides) under Erythranthe guttata (spotted monkey flower). RNAcentral's name for it is "long non-coding RNA (EGUT_LNC003393)". Lineage: Eukaryota; Viridiplantae; Streptophyta; Magnoliopsida; Lamiales; Phrymaceae. The record is from RNAcentral.